CAGCCGUAAACUAUGCGCGUUAGGUGUAUCGGUGACCACGAGUCACCGAGGUGCCGAAGGGAAACCGUGAAACGUGCCGCCUGGGAAGUACGGUCGCAAGGCUGAAACUUAAAGGAAUUGGCGGGGGGAGGCACCACAACGGGUGGAGCCUGCGGUUUAAUUGGACUCAACGCCGGGAAGCUACACCGGAUAAGACAGCGGAAUGAUUGCCGGGCUGAAGACUCUGCAUGACUAGCUGAGAGGAGGUGCAUGGCGUAGACGUCU
Molecule: ribosomal RNA, 264 nt
Filed under: uncultured archaeon
Lineage: Archaea
Description: partial 16S ribosomal RNA
Rfam family: Archaeal small subunit ribosomal RNA
Source: RNAcentral